RNAcentral lists this unclassified non-coding RNA (293 nucleotides) under uncultured fungus. RNAcentral describes it as "sequence contains ITS1". Lineage: Eukaryota; Fungi. The record is from RNAcentral.
GGACUACUCGGGUUUCUAAUCCCAUUCGAUACCCAUGCUUUUGUGCAUUAGCGUCAGUUAUGUAUUGGUAUUCGUCUUCACCUAUUGGCGUUCCCACUAGACUCAGGCUUUCCUUCCUAGUGCUAGCUAGUUCCAAUACCACCCACAUAACUCAAGUAAUGAUGUAUUGUAUGCUGUAUACAACUCUACAUCAGUCACGAAGAAUACAACUAUCAUUACCGCCUACACACCCUGUACGCCCAGUUAUGCUGACGAGGACUUGCACAUCCCGACUUACCGCGGCGGCUGGCACC